UGGGGAAUUUUGGACAAUGGGGGAAACCCUGAUCCAGCCAUCCCGCGUGUGCGAUGAAGGCCUUCGGGUUGUAAAGCACUUUUGGCAGGAAAGAAACGUCGCGGGUUAAUACCCCGCGAAACUGACGGUACCUGCAGAAUAAGCACCGGCUAACUACGUGCCAGCAGCCGCGGUAAUACGUAGGGUGCAAGCGUUAAUCGGAAUUACUGGGCGUAAAGCGUGCGCAGGCGGUUCGGAAAGAAAGAUGUGAAAUCCCAGAGCUUAACUUUGGAACUGCAUUUUUAACUACCGGGCUAGAGUGUGUCAGAGGGAGGUGGAAUUCCGCGUGUAGCAGUGAAAUGCGUAGAUAUGCGGAGGAACACCGAUGGCGAAGGCAGCCUCCUGGGAUAACACUGACGCUCAUGCACGAAAGCGUGGGGAGCAAACAGGAUUAGAUACCCUGGUAGUCCAACGCCCUAAACGAUGUCAACUAGCUGUUGGGGCCUUCGGGCCUUGGUAGGCGCAGCUAACGCGUGAAGUUGACCGCCU
RNAcentral lists this ribosomal RNA (528 nucleotides) under uncultured bacterium. RNAcentral describes it as "partial 16S ribosomal RNA". It matches the Rfam family "Bacterial small subunit ribosomal RNA", at positions 355 to 874 of the family's 1533-position model. The record is from RNAcentral.